CAGUCGCCGCGGUAUACGAAGGGGGCUAGCGUUGUUCGGAAUCACUGGGCGUAAAGCGCACGUAGGCGGAUCUUUAAGUCAGGGGUGAAAUCCCGAGGCUCAACCUCGGAACUGCCUUUGAUACUGGGGAUCUCGAGUCCGGGAGAGGUGAGUGGAACUGCGAGUGUAGAGGUGAAAUUCGUAGAUAUUCGCAAGAACACCAGUGGCGAAGGCGGCUCACUGGUCCGGAACUGACGCUGAGGUGCGAAAGCGUGGGGAGCAAACAGGAUUAGAUACCCGCGUAGUCCCUGUCUCUUAUACA
Molecule: ribosomal RNA, 301 nt
Filed under: uncultured bacterium
Lineage: Bacteria
Description: partial 16S ribosomal RNA
Rfam family: Bacterial small subunit ribosomal RNA
Source: RNAcentral